GAUGAACGCUGACAGAAUGCUUAACACAUGCAAGUCUUUGGCGAAGCUGUGCUUGCACAGCCUAGCCAAGGCGGACGGGUGAGUACCGCGUAAGGAACUUGCCCUGCAGUCAGGGAUAACAGACGGAAACGACUGAUAAGACCUGGUAAAGUCAGGCGGACUCAUGUCCAGCCUGAUGAAAAGAGAUGCUGCAGGAGAGCCUUGCGUCCUAUUAGCUUGUUGGUGGGGUAACGGCCCACCAAGGCGAUGAUAGGUAGCCGGCCUGAGAGGGUGGACGGCCACAAGGGGACUGAGAUACGGCCCUUACUCCUACGGGAGGCAGCAGUGGGGAAUAUUGGACAAUGGGGGCAACCCUGAUCCAGCAAUUCUGUGUGCACGAUGAAGGUUUUCGGAGUGUAAAGUGCUUUCAGCAGGGAAGAAAAAAAUGACGGUACCUGCAGAAGAAGCGACGGCUAAAUACGUG
This 463-nucleotide ribosomal RNA is filed under the name uncultured bacterium. RNAcentral describes it as "partial 16S ribosomal RNA". It matches the Rfam family "Bacterial small subunit ribosomal RNA", at positions 28 to 507 of the family's 1533-position model. The record is from RNAcentral.